Long non-coding RNA from Hippocampus comes (tiger tail seahorse), 2477 nucleotides. RefSeq lists it as uncharacterized. Lineage: Eukaryota; Metazoa; Chordata; Actinopteri; Syngnathiformes; Syngnathidae. The record is from RefSeq and is a predicted model, not a curated record. The transcript is spliced from 8 exons.
AAGAUAAUUUGUACAAACAUGGCCCUUCCCAUGUGUCGGUCCAUUAGAAAUAAGAAAAAGACCAUUUUGAUUAAACUCUAUGAGCACCUAUGGAGCAACAACAUACAUGGAUUGUUACUGACUAGAGGGCAAUUGUUGAGUCACUGUUAUUGAAUCUGUUAACAUCCACAGAUAUAUGGCGGCCAUUUUGUGCUACAUGAGACACUGCGCGCUUUAUUUAUUGCAGCUUUAGCGCCGAUAGGACACUUUCAAGUCUACCCGUGCAGCCAGUAUAUCAACGUGAUGUAGCUAUUUAUGUCAUUAGAUAGCGUUAGUCCUACAUAUUGCUACUUUAGAGAAUGCUUCAGCUGUCCACUUCAUCAUCCACGACUGUUUUCUAAUUAUGAAACCCAGGAAUUAAAACACGUGAGCCCUGUAAGGUUAACAUCCUAAUGUCAUAGCAAUGGGCCGUUUGCAAGUUAUUGCCUCCUUUUGACCCAGUAUGUGGCCACAGCUUGUAAAUUUAACCACAGCUGAUCACUGGUCAUAAGGUCAGUAAGAUGGGGAAGAAAAAAAAAAAGCUGUUUUUUUUUUUGUCACUGUAGCAAUAACGCUGAGAAGUGCAGUAUAGUACAAGAGGAUGGAAAAUUGAUUGAUGCACAGUGGUAAAUUAAUGAACGCACACGCAACUGUAGUUAUAUCAAAUUAUCACAAUGUCAAAUAUUUUGAUGUGUUGUCAUAUAAUUCAGCAAGUAGGAUUUCUAUGCAUCUUUUCAAAGGCGCUAAACACAUACAAUUAAAAUAAGUGUGGUGAACUCAAAAUUUCAAGGCAUCAGCAUUUAAAUUUUUUUUAUAGUAGAUUGGCCUAAUAUGUGAACAUAUUUGUUACUAAAGUGUCAUUUUCUUUCUUUGCCUCAGCUUUUUGCCACAUUAAAGCAACCGCAUCCGAUACAGCUCAUCACUCUCAAACUCCCUCGUCAUGGCUGCGAUGCUACCCGAGGACCUGAAGACAAGCAUUCCAAUGCGCCUGCAGGUAUGCACGCUCACACACUGGCAGGUGCAGCCUUCUUUCGGCGCUGUAGCUUUUCAUUAACUUGUCUCGCACAAUCAAAGUCUGUCAGCGAGAGUGACAUCGGGAGAAAGGACAUGGGAGGAAAUGGAGUUUUCGCAGAUAGGCUGCGUUGUCAUUGCUGCAUCGAAAAUGGAACUUCCUUCUCUUGUCUGAUAACAUUGUUUCUGACUUUUUGUUGUUGUUGUGUCUCGAGGCCUUUCACGGCCAGCACUUCAACAACACACAAAUACAGAAGUGGAAGUGGAAGCAGUUGUUUUCCUUGGCAGACCAAACCGCCGGGGUCAAAGACAUGUGACUCAACCAGGAAGUAUCAGGCCGCAUAGACAGGAAGGAACCCCAGAUUGGUCAGACUGGACAGAUGAGCUCCAGCUGACUCCCGGCCAGCUCAGCGGAGCAAGCGGAGAAGUGCAGGUGUCACAUUGUCGUGGUUGUGACUAACCCAAUUGCACCUGGAUCGCAGGGGACACACCCUCAACGCCGUAAACAACAUUUAUUUGGACUGUAAUGAAGACUCGAUGGGCUCCGGGCUGUACCUAGCGGCGACGGGGUGACACUGAUGAAUGGCUGAAGAUGCGCUCACUGCAGUCGGGCAGGAGAGAGACAACUGUCAGCCUGCUGUGUUGUAUGCAUGUGUGCGCAUCCCAUAAGGAAGAUGCGUGUGAUGCGGCGUCACGGCCAGAUGCCUUCAGAAGAUGUUGGAGAGAGAAAGAGGAAGGCGUGAUGUGAAGACCAAAAAAAAAAAAAUAUCCAGAGCUGAGGACUGUUCCCAUCUCUGACAGCUGUGUCAGCGCAGGAGACAGCAUCGAGGACGCACGACGCGCGCGUACAAUUAUAGGAACACAUGCGUGAACACAAACACACACACGGAGCUGUGGAAGUCUCCAUUUUGCAUCCGGGACCUCAGAGGAUGGUGACAGGCUUUCUCUUCUCUUCUCAGUCUCGUGGCGUGAUUGGAUGGGACACCGAGACCCACCACUUAGGCAGGGAAACUGACGGCUCUUGACUUUCCGAGAUGGCUUGCGCCGAGUGUGAGAAAAUGGAUUUUGCCUUUUUCCAUCUGCUGCCCGCCGUGUGGAACCUUCCCUGGACGUGCUGUCAGCACCUUGAGCCUUUCCAGGGAAAACAAGCAACACUUUUGGGAUCUUCACCCUCAAGCGCUCGCACAGUCUUCCUCCAUGAGCGUCGGGAUUUGUCAUAACUGCCAGCGUAACUGAGACUUGACACUCGGAACCGCAUGGAAAAUCUCACAUCAUAAAUUGGCUGGUAUCAUAUCGUGGCUCCGGGCUCAUAUCAACAAUCUGCAAAACCCAAUCCAUCUCAAGAUCUAUAUCAGCGACAUGCCAACAUAUCUAAGUAGUCUUCCAUUUGCUAGCUUUAGUUUCAAGAUUUAUUAUUUAUUUUUUGCGUAAAUUAACCUUAAGUACCU